CCUACGGGUGGCUGCAGUGGGGAAUAUUGGACAAUGGGGGGAACCCUGAUCCAGCCAUGCCGCGUGUGUGAAGAAGGCCCUCGGGUUGUAAAGCACUUUCAGUGAGGAAGAACGCCUGGUGGUUAAUACCCAUCAGGAAAGACAUCACUCACAGAAGAAGCACCGGCUAACUCCGUGCCAGCAGCCGCGGUAAUACGGAGGGUGCGAGCGUUAAUCGGAAUUACUGGGCGUAAAGCGCGCGUAGGUGGCUUGAUAAGCCGGUUGUGAAAGCCCCGGGCUCAACCUGGGAACGGCAUCCGGAACUGUCAAGCUAGAGUGCAGGAGAGGAAGGUAGAAUUCCCGGUGUAGCGGUGAAAUGCUUAGAGAUCGGGAGGAAUACCAGUUGCGAAGGCGGCCUUCUGGACUGACACUGACACUGAGGUGCGAAAGCGUGGGUAGCGAACAGGAUUAGAUACCCUGGUAGUC
This 465-nucleotide ribosomal RNA is filed under the name Vreelandella stevensii. RNAcentral describes it as "partial 16S ribosomal RNA". It matches the Rfam family "Bacterial small subunit ribosomal RNA", at positions 338 to 795 of the family's 1533-position model. Lineage: Bacteria; Pseudomonadati; Pseudomonadota; Gammaproteobacteria; Oceanospirillales; Halomonadaceae. The record is from RNAcentral.